This is a non-coding RNA of Prunus avium (sweet cherry), 409 nucleotides long. Lineage: Eukaryota; Viridiplantae; Streptophyta; Magnoliopsida; Rosales; Rosaceae. The record is from RefSeq and is a predicted model, not a curated record.
UCAUGUAGAAUAAAGUUAUGCAAAUUUGUCAAUGAUAAUAAGUCAUUCUUGCAGACAGCUCACCAGAUAACUUCGUAUUUAAAUCUUCUCCAAGUGGUGUUUUGUCUUUACAAGCUUCCAGCUUUGGGACAGUUGGUGUCAGGUCUUACAGUUGCCUAUGCUGGAUUAUGCUUGUUUUGCCUUUAUAUCUUAGCCGAGAACAGUCAGUGCAUGUUUGUCUUGAUUUCUGAGGAGAACGAAUCAUCUAGCCGAGGAAGAUGCUGCAGUGCAAGAUACUCUGUUGUAGCUUAUGUUUUCUGUAACCUCCAUGUACAAUGAAUCUUUGUAUAUUUUUGUGUACAUAUUGUUAACCAGGAGAUACAAUUUUACGAUGCAAAUUGUCGAAUAAUUGACACCAUUCCUGAAUAAA